Molecule: non-coding RNA, 802 nt
Organism: Arachis ipaensis
Lineage: Eukaryota; Viridiplantae; Streptophyta; Magnoliopsida; Fabales; Fabaceae
Source: RefSeq, a predicted model, not a curated record
AUAUGAGAAAUUGUGGGUAAUGUGAAUGACAAAUCCUAAUCUCUUUCCACCGUUCAUCUCAUGCCGUUGUCCUACAUCUCAGGUCACUGUCGUUCAUCCCCUCGUUGCUGCUCAUCUCCUCGUGCUACAAGAAAUAUUGUUGUUGCUGCCUUCAAUGAGCUUCUACGAUUUGGUUCUCGAUCAGGCUUCGAUUUAAAGAUUUGUUGCCGCCGCUUAAUUCACUGCCAUCGUUCAUCUUCUCACUACCGCUCAUCCCCUCGCCACAUCUAGCAACAUCAUGUCGCUGCCUUCAAUGAGCUUCUAUGAUCUUGUUAUAGCUUCGAACUGAAGAUACAUGAGAAGUAGGCUUACACUAAAGAAGGUGAAUGCAGCAAUCAAUGACAAAGGGCAAAAGAAGCUCGAUGUGCUUUCGAAUCAUGUGUUUGUCAAGGCUUUGGUUAGCAGUGGCCAUAUGGCAAAAGAAGCUUUAAUUUAUUUAGUACUUGCUUUGUUUUUUAAUUUUUGUUUUUUUUAUUGGUUAUUAGUCACUCAGUUUUCGAGAGUCGAAUAAUGCUGGGAAUCACCUUAUUGCUGCUCUUUCUCUAGUUAGUCUCUUCUUUUUUUUUCUUUAAUUUUCUUAUCCAUUGUUUUACAAUACCAUCUAAGGAUGCUAUUAAAUGCGUACCUUUAGUAUGAUUAGUGUAGAAGUUAGAUACUUUUAGGGAUUUGGCAAUAUAUGAUUGAUGAAUAUGUAGGAUAGAUGAAGUGAUACUGAAAAUGUGUCCAAGUUAAACUCUUUUUGUCUAGUGAAGUGUGAUUAUUA